UACAGAGGGGGCUAGCGUUAUUCGGAAUUAUUGGGCGUAAAGGGCGCGUAGGCGGCCAUGCGUGUCUUCCGUGAAAUCCCUCGGCUUAACUGAGGACGUGCGGAAGAAACUGCAAGGCUUGAGUCCGGGAGAGGGGGGUGGAAUUCCUAGUGUAGGAGUGAAAUCCGUAGAUAUUAGGAGGAACACCGGUGGCGAAGGCGGCUACCUGGACCGAUAUUGACGCUGAGACGCGAAAGCGUGGGGAGCAAACA
This 251-nucleotide ribosomal RNA is filed under the name uncultured bacterium. Its description in RNAcentral is "partial 16S ribosomal RNA". It matches the Rfam family "Bacterial small subunit ribosomal RNA", at positions 524 to 774 of the family's 1533-position model. The record is from RNAcentral.